UACGUAGGUGGCAAGCGUUGUCCGGAUUUAUUGGGCUUAAAGGGUGCGUAGGCGGCUCUGUAAGUCAGUGCUGAAAUAUCCCAGCUUAACUGGGAGGGUGGCAUUGAUACUGCGGGGCUAGAGUACAGAUGAGGUAGGCGGAAUUGACGGUGUAGCGGUGAAAUGCUUAGAUAUCGUCAAGAACACCUAUAGCGAAGGCAGCUUACUAGGCUGUAACUGACGCUGAGGCACGAAAGUGUGGGGAGCAAACAGG
RNAcentral lists this ribosomal RNA (253 nucleotides) under uncultured bacterium. Its description in RNAcentral is "partial 16S ribosomal RNA". It matches the Rfam family "Bacterial small subunit ribosomal RNA", at positions 524 to 776 of the family's 1533-position model. The record is from RNAcentral.